UGCCGAAACCCGGGAUCGAACCAGAAACUUUUAGAUCUUCAGUCUAACGCUUUUCCAACUGAGCUAUUUCGCC
This is a non-coding RNA of Cordylochernes scorpioides, 73 nucleotides long. NCBI's taxonomy places the organism in Eukaryota, Metazoa, Arthropoda, Arachnida, Pseudoscorpiones, Chernetidae. The record is from the annotation of a GenBank genome assembly.